UUUUUAGUAUAAGUAUGUUCAGUGCAAUAUUUAGGACAUAUUUAUACUAAAA
RNAcentral lists this microRNA precursor (52 nucleotides) under Equus caballus (horse). RNAcentral describes it as "mir-1302 microRNA precursor family". It matches the Rfam family "mir-1302 microRNA precursor family". Lineage: Eukaryota; Metazoa; Chordata; Mammalia; Perissodactyla; Equidae. The record is from Rfam by way of RNAcentral.